Molecule: long non-coding RNA, 1121 nt
Organism: Hemiscyllium ocellatum (epaulette shark)
Lineage: Eukaryota; Metazoa; Chordata; Chondrichthyes; Orectolobiformes; Hemiscylliidae
Exons: 3
Source: RefSeq, a predicted model, not a curated record
ACGAGGAAGUGGAGCCAUCCUUAAAGGCCCAAAGGCCCAAAGUCGAUCAGAUGGUUGUUUAUCAAAACAUCCUACGGUCCAGAUACUGGAAGGAAGUAUUGUGAGAAGCAUGACAGGACAUGCAGGAAUACAGAAACUUGAACAUCGAUUUUUAAAUAGGCAUUUUACCUGGCCAAGGCUUCAUUAGGAUGCUGUGAAGUUCUGUAAAACUUGUCAUAUCAGUGGUACCAGCAACACACACAUGUACUCCAGGGCAAGAGGGUUUCUCUGCUGCUUCAGAGAAAGAAAGAUGAGUGCCUCAGAGGACACACUGGCUAAUGCCAUUUACAAGUUCGCUGAUGACACCACCAUAGUCGGUCAAAUCUCAGAUGGCGACAAAACAGACUACAGAUGGGAGGUGGAAGACCUGGAAAAAUGGUGCACUGAGAACAACCUAGCUCUCAAAACCAAGGAAUUCGUUAUUGACUUUCAGGGGAUGUUACUCAUGCCCCCCUACACAUUAACAGCACAGAGGUGGAACGAGUGGAGGGUAUCAAGCUCCUGGGUGUGGUCAUCCACAACAAGUUUUCUUGGACUAUUAAUGUGGGUGCACUGGUUACAAAGGCCCAACAACGUCUCUUCUUCCUCAGGCAGCUGAGGAAAUUUGGCAUGACGGCGAAUACCCUUACCAAAUUUUAUUGUGCGCUAUUGAGAGCAUUCUGUCUGGAUGUAUCACUACCUGGUAUGGCAACUGUGCCAUUCAAAGUCUGAGACGAUUGCAGAGAGUGGCAAACUCGGCCCAGACAAUCACAAAGGCCAACUUCCCAUCGAUAGAAUCCAUCGACCAAGCCCGCUGUCAAGGAAAGGCUGCCAGUAUUCUCAAAGAUCUGUCCCACCUUGGCAAUGUUUUUGUACAAUCUGUACCAUCAGUGAGAAGAUACAGAAGCCUGAACACAUGCACCAGCCAGUUUCGAAACAGUUCCUACCCUACUGUUGUUAAAUACUGAAUGGACUCUCAAACUCUGAACAUUCACCUAUACCUGCGUUUUUGUGUGUCUGCUGUUCACCUAUUAUUUACUAAUCUAUGCUAUUUAAUUCUGUGAUGCCUGUAUUGCUCAGAAAUCAAAGCUUUUUGCUGAACC